AGUGAACGCUGGCGGCAGGCCUAACACAUGCAAGUCGAGCGGAUGAAGGGUGCUUGCUCCUGGUUUCAGCGGCGGACGGGUGGGUGAUUCCUAGGAAUAUGGCUGUUAGUUGUGUAUAACGUGCGGACACGGGCGCUCAUACCACAUACGUGCUUAGGGCGAACGUGUGGGAUCUUCGGACCUCACGCUAUCGGACGAGCCGAUGUCGGAUUAGCGAGUUGGCGGGGUAAAGGCCUACCAAGGCGACGAUCCGUAACUGGUCUGAGAGGAUGAUCAGCCACACUGGAACUGAGACACGGUCCAGACUCCUACGGGAGGCAGCAGUGGGGAAUAUUGGACAAUGGGCGCAAGCCUGAUCCAGCCAUGCCGCGUGUGUGAAGAAGGUCUUCGGAUUGUAAAGCCCUUUUGUUGGGGAGGAAGAGCAGUAAGUUAAUACCCCGCUGUUCUGACGGUACCAAAAGAAUAAGCACCGGCUAACUUCGUG
Molecule: ribosomal RNA, 484 nt
Filed under: uncultured bacterium
Lineage: Bacteria
Description: partial 16S ribosomal RNA
Rfam family: Bacterial small subunit ribosomal RNA
Source: RNAcentral